This is a non-coding RNA of Ictidomys tridecemlineatus (thirteen-lined ground squirrel), 1461 nucleotides long. The record is from RefSeq and is a predicted model, not a curated record. Lineage: Eukaryota; Metazoa; Chordata; Mammalia; Rodentia; Sciuridae.
UGCUAAGCACUUUGCGAGCUUUGCCUGAUUACUUAUGGUUCUUCUCUUCAUCAACAGAAGAGGAAAUCAAGCUCAGAGAGGUUGGAUAACUUGCCCAGGGUCACACAGCUAGCGAGCGGCUGAGCUGGAUGCUAACCUGAUGCUAAAAGUCUGCUCAGCUCCCAGGCCUCACGUGUUCCUCAGGGCGGAGAGUUCAGGAGAUGGAUUCUGAAGCUGGACGGCUGGAGCGGUUUGAAUCCUGCCCUCGCCCUGCCACCUGCUACCUCUGCGGUUUUUGUCAAGACACUUGACCUCUCUGAGCCCGAGUCUGCUCCUCGGUGACAUGGGCACAACUUCCUGGGGCCCUGAGGACUGAAGGUUGUCAUCAGGGGAGGGGUGUGACGGGUUUGGAACAGCCACUGUGACAGGUGCAGAGGGCACAGAGACACCGUCCCCGCCCGGGGGACUUCUGUCGAGAGGGAAAGAUCAUCCGCACAGAGAAGCCAAGCCCCCGCGGGGGGACGAGCUGGACCCGCAGGGACCCGGGCAGGGACUCGGGCCCAGCCUGCCCCUGGCUUCCAGGAGCGCGCCUCGGCAGGGGAGCAGUUUGGUUUCACUUGGUUUUUUAUGAUCUUUUGGGGGAAAUCAUCUGAAGUCGCGGAGGGGUUCCCAGAAGCCCCUCCCCCUUCCUCUAACAGCCUCCGCGGAACUCGGUCCUCCCUGGGCUCCACCAGCCCCCCCCAGCACCCUCCGGGGCCGGCUGUCUGUGGCCAUCUUGGUUCUGAAGGAGGAACAGGAGGUCACCGGGACGGGGCAGCGGGCCAGGAAGGAGGCUUGUCAUUUGGGCCGAGGCCAGGAAGAGUCCCCGGAACCAGGACAGAGAUCUGAAGGUCAGGAGUCCAGCAUCAGAGGCCGGUCCUUUCGGAGGCUCUGGGGGCAGAUCCGCACCCCUGGCUGUGCGACCCCGGAAGCCGCCUGCGUUCCUCAGCUCUGGCCCCUCCUCUGUUCUCAGCCAGCUCUGAAGGCCUCCUCAUAAAGACCCCCGGGUAGGAGCCCGCCUGGACCAUCUCAGGAUCCGUACCUCGCCUUCCACUGCAAACCCCCUUUCCACGAUUGCGGAGGGAGGCAGAGCUACUGGCCCCGGGGAGCCUCGCCAGGCUGCGGUCCUCUGUCACAAGCACUCAGAUGCUGGCCCGGCACCGAGACGUCAAGGAUUCCUGGUGGCCCUGCUUGGACUGCAGAGUCGGCUCCUGUUGGAGGGAGGGAGAGAGAAGCCAGAGAGCAGCGUGGCUCUAAUGUGCAUCCGAUUAGGCUUCGCUGCACGCUCUGCCCGGCUUCCCUCCCGGCACGCUCUCCUGAAGACAGCUUGAUGACUUGAAGGGAGCCGCGUGGAUUGUAUACCUGUCAACUCCCUCUCCACACCCGCCGGCCACGGGGCUCUAAUGAGGCCUGACACCUCAGGAAUCCAGCAGGAUGCGAAGC